This 468-nucleotide ribosomal RNA is filed under the name uncultured bacterium. RNAcentral's name for it is "partial 16S ribosomal RNA". It matches the Rfam family "Bacterial small subunit ribosomal RNA", at positions 28 to 507 of the family's 1533-position model. The record is from RNAcentral.
GACGAACGCUGGCGGCGUGCUUAACACAUGCAAGUCGAACGGAAAGGCCCUGCUUUUGUGGGGUGCUCGAGUGGCGAACGGGUGAGUAACACGUGAGUAACCUGCCCUUGACUUUGGGAUAACUUCAGGAAACUGGGGCUAAUACCGGAUAGGAGCUCCUGCUGCAUGGUGGGGGUUGGUAAGUUUCGGCGGUUGGGGAUGGACUCGCGGCUUAUCAGCUUGUUGGUGGGGUAGUGGCUUACCAAGGCUUUGACGGGUAGCCGGCCUGAGAGGGUGACCGGCCACAUUGGGACUGAGAUACGGCCCAGACUCCUACGGGAGGCAGCAGUGGGAAAUAUUGCACAAUGGGCGGAAGCCUGAUGCAGCAACGCCGCGUGCGGGAUGACGGCCUUCGGGUUGUAAACCGCUUUCGCCUGUGACGAAGCGUGAGUGACGGUAAUGGGUAAAGAAGCACCGGCUAACUACGUG